UAAAGAAUAUUUUUAGAGCCGCUAACUCUAGUCACGACUAUCCAGCGAUUCUUUUC
This 56-nucleotide transfer RNA is filed under the name Pseudocellus pearsei. RNAcentral describes it as "tRNA-Ser". The record is from RNAcentral. Lineage: Eukaryota; Metazoa; Arthropoda; Arachnida; Ricinulei; Ricinoididae.